This 480-nucleotide ribosomal RNA is filed under the name uncultured bacterium. Its description in RNAcentral is "partial 16S ribosomal RNA". It matches the Rfam family "Bacterial small subunit ribosomal RNA", at positions 28 to 507 of the family's 1533-position model. The record is from RNAcentral.
GAUGAACGCUAGCGGCAGGCCUAACACAUGCCAGUCGAGGGGGAAGUUACUUUCGGGUGACUGAGACCGGCGUACGGGUGCGUAACGCGUAUACAAUCUGCCUUUCACUGGGGGAUAGCCCGAAGAAAUUUGGAUUAAUACCCCAUAGUAUAUAGGGACGGCAUCGUUUUUAUAUUAAAGCUUAGGUGGUGAAAGAUGAGUAUGCGUUCUAUUAGCUAGUUGGAGAGGUAACGGCUCCCCAAGGCGAUGAUAGAUAGGGGUUCUGAGAGGGAUGUCCCCCACACUGGUACUGAGAUACGGACCAGACUCCUACGGGAGGCAGCAGUGAGGAAUAUUGGACAAUGGUCGGAAGACUGAUCCAGCCAUGCCGCGUGCAGGAUGAAGGUCUUAUGGAUUGUAAACUGCUUUUGUAAGGGAAGAAUAAGGGCUACGCGUAGUUUGAUGACGGUACCUUACGAAUAAGCAGCGGCUAACUCCGUG